GAUGAACGCUGGCGGCGUGCCUAAUACAUGCAAGUCGAGCGAACAGACGAGGAGCUUGCUCCUCUGACGUUAGCGGCGGACGGGUGAGUAACACGUGGAUAACCUACCUAUAAGACUGGGAUAACUUCGGGAAACCGGAGCUAAUACCGUAUAACAUGUUGAACCGCAUGGUUCAACAGUGAAAGACGGUCUUGCUGUCACUUAUAGAUGGAUCCGCGCCGCAUUAGCUAGUUGGUAAGGUAACGGCUUACCAAGGCAACGAUGCGUAGCCGACCUGAGAGGGUGAUCGGCCACACUGGAAAUGAGACACGGUCCAGACUCCUACGGGAGGCAGCAGUAGGGAAUCUUCCGCAAUGGGCGAAAGCCUGACGGAGCAACGCCGCGUGAGUGAAGAAGGUCUUCGGAUCGUAAAACUCUGUUAUUAGGGAAGAACAAAUGUGUAAGUAACUAUGCACGUCUUGACGGUACCUAAUCAGAAAGCCACGGCUAACUACGUG
This 497-nucleotide ribosomal RNA is filed under the name uncultured bacterium. Its description in RNAcentral is "partial 16S ribosomal RNA". It matches the Rfam family "Bacterial small subunit ribosomal RNA", at positions 28 to 507 of the family's 1533-position model. The record is from RNAcentral.